RNAcentral lists this ribosomal RNA (253 nucleotides) under uncultured bacterium. RNAcentral's name for it is "partial 16S ribosomal RNA". It matches the Rfam family "Bacterial small subunit ribosomal RNA", at positions 524 to 776 of the family's 1533-position model. The record is from RNAcentral.
UACGUAGGAUGCAAGCGUUGUCCGGAAUUAUUGGGCGUAAAGAGCGCGCAGGCGGUAACUCAAGUCAGAUGUGAAAUAUCCGGGCUUAACCCGGAGGGGUCAUUUGAAACUGAGUAACUAGAGUACAGCAGAGGAUAGCGGAAUUCCCGGUGUAGUGGUGAAAUUCGUAGAUAUCGGGAGGAACACCAGUGGCGAAGGCGGCUGACUGGUCCGGUUCUGACGCUGAGGCGCGAAAGCGUGGGGAGCAAACAGG